Papaver somniferum (opium poppy) is the source of this 1442-nucleotide long non-coding RNA. RefSeq lists it as uncharacterized. The transcript has 2 exons. Lineage: Eukaryota; Viridiplantae; Streptophyta; Magnoliopsida; Ranunculales; Papaveraceae. The record is from RefSeq and is a predicted model, not a curated record.
UUUCAUUUCAGAUCUAAAAUUUGUUCUUGCUCCAUCAUCGUCUUCAUCGUCGCUACCACCGCCAUUACCACCUCGUCGUCCGUUGCUGCAUAGAUUCAGGAACACCUCCUUCGUCAUUACCUCCUAUACUUCCGCCAAAUCCACCACCACCACCACCACAUAACAUCAUAAACAACCUGUUUAUAUCCAUGAAUCGACGAGAAACCUGUUUGAUUCUGAAACUGGUAUGAUUUUAGGUUUUGAUUUUAUUUUAGUUUAAUGAUAUUAACUAAUUUCAUGGUAUUUGAAGAGAUUGUUAAUCUAUAAGUUAUAUGUUAACUUAUUUCAAGUUGAAAUUUCAAGAAGUAAUGAUGAUUAUAGCGGUGGCGCUGAUGGUGGUUGCGGUGGUAGGAGAGGUUUGGUUUGUUGAUUCGUCUACAAAGUGAAAGUUAAAUCAAUUUCUAAAUUAUUGACGGAGAUAAAAGGGGAUUGCAGUGAUUAUCUUCUUCCUUUUGUUUAAGUUUCCGGUGAUGGUGAAGUUGGGAAUGAUGAAAUUGGCGAUAAAAAUCAUGGUGGUUCUGGUUAUUAUUGUGGUGAUGAAGUUGGUGGUGGAGAUUUGUUGUGAUUGUGGUGGUUUGGAGAUGUUUGCAGUGGUGAUACUUACGGUUACUAUCACUUCCUUCACUAAUGUCACUGCAAAAAAUAUCAAUGCAAGUUGAUAGUUUGCAACAUUGGUGUUGCUGCUGGUUGUUUGUUGUGGAGGGGUGGCGGUGCUGGUGGCGUUUUUGUGGUAAGUACUAGCUCUUCAUAGCAGGCUUAAUAUUUGAUCUACUUAACAAUGGAAAAUUUACAUUAGACAGAUGUUUUGUGCAUGGUAUUUACUAAUAAUUGAUAUUUUUUACUAUAAUCAUCUGGUGAUAUUGCUAUAUACAUUUAGAUCUGUUUGAUAGCUAGUUGCAGCUAUACAUCAUCUCUACAUAAUAAGCUGCAUGUAGUGGAUGCUGAAAAGUUACUAGAAAAUGUAUGUAUAUAUAUGAUUUUUGACUUCCUCUUGACGACUCAACAUGAGAUGUUCCUGCACAUAUUUCAACAAUUACGGGUAACACUUUUCCCACAACACAAUAUCUUGAGUUAUGCUUGAUAUAAGGUGGUAUCAUUUUAUGCUUUUGUCUCUUGUGUCCAUUUGUUGCUUAUGUAUAAAAUGCCUUCUUUGCUCGCUGGUUCACAAGUGAACCGGUUUCCGAACAUUACAUUUUCAUAUACUUAUCUUGGUGAUAUCUACUACUAGUGACGGCCUAUAGAAAUGUGUAUUUAGGAUUUAUAAGUAGUUUAUCUGCUCACAAUAUUUCAGUCCUUGCUCAUAAUUUUUAUUUUUUGUGUACACACACAUUACUUGGUACAAUUUUAUUUGGUACAGAAGUAGUUAAUUUUGAUAAAAUUCUAGUAUAUUAUUGAACUUUAGA